GAGCGGAUGACGGGAGCUUGCUCCUUGAUUCAGCGGCGGACGGGUGAGUAAUGCCUAGGAAUCUGCCUGGUAGUGGGGGACAACGUUUCGAAAGGAACGCUAAUACCGCAGACGUCCUACGGGAGAAAGCAGGGGACCUUCGGGCCUUGCGCUAUCAGAUGAGCCUAGGUCGGAUUAGCUAGUUGGUGGGGUAAUGGCUCACCAAGGCGACGAUCCGUAACUGGUCUGAGAGGAUGAUCAGUCACACUGGAACUGAGACACGGUCCAGACUCCUACGGGAGGCAGCAGUGGGGAAUAUUGGACAAUGGGCGAAAGCCUGAUCCAGCCAUGCCGCGUGUGUGAAGAAGGUCUUCGGAUUGUAAAGCACUUUAAGUUGGGAGGAAGGGCAGUAAGUUAAUACCUUGCUGUUUUGACGUUACCGACAGAAUAAGCACCGGCUAACUCUGUGCCAGCAGCCGCGGUAAUACAGAGGGUGCAAGCGUUAAUCGGAAUUACUGGGCGUAAAGCGCGCGUAGGUGGUUUGUUAAGUUGGAUGUGAAAGCCCCGGGCUCAACCUGGGAACUGCAUCCAAAACUGGCAAGCUAGAGUACGGUAGAGGGUGGUGGAAUUUCCUGUGUAACGAUGAAAUGCGUAGAUAUAGGAAGGAACACCACUGGCGAAGGCGACCACCUGGACUGAUACUGACACUGAGGUGCGAAAGCGUGUGGAGCAAACACGAUUAGAUACCCUGGUAGUCCACGCCGUAAACGAUGUCAACUAGCCGUUGGAAUCCUUGAGAUUUUAGUGGCGCAGCUAACGCAUUAAGUUGACCGCCUGG
Molecule: ribosomal RNA, 817 nt
Filed under: Pseudomonas putida
Lineage: Bacteria; Pseudomonadati; Pseudomonadota; Gammaproteobacteria; Pseudomonadales; Pseudomonadaceae
Description: bacterial SSU rRNA
Rfam family: Bacterial small subunit ribosomal RNA
Source: RNAcentral